This 568-nucleotide ribosomal RNA is filed under the name Diaporthe sp. UFMGCB 4580. RNAcentral describes it as "eukaryotic LSU rRNA". The stretch from base 166 to 322 matches the Rfam family "5.8S ribosomal RNA". Lineage: Eukaryota; Fungi; Ascomycota; Sordariomycetes; Diaporthales; Diaporthaceae. The record is from RNAcentral.
UGAGGCUGGCGCACCAGAAACCUUUGUGAACUUAUACCUAUUGUUGCCUCGGCGCAGGCCGGCCUCUUCACUGAGGCCCCCUGGAAACAGGAGCAGCCCGCCGGCGGCAACCAAACUCUUGUUUCUACAGUGAAUCUCUGAGAAAAAAAACCAUAAAUGAAUCAAAACUUUCAACAACGGAUCUCUUGGCUUCUGGCAUCGAUGAAGAACGCAGCGAAAUGCGAUAAGUAAUGUGAAUUGCAGAAUUCAGUGCAAUCAUCGAAUCUUUGCAACGCACAUUGCGCCCUCUGGUAUUCCGGAGGGCAUGCCUGUUCGAGCGUCAUUUCAACCCUCAAGCCUGGCUUGGUGAUGGGGCACUGCCUGUAAAAAGGGCAGGCCCUGAAAUCUAGUGGCGAGCUCGCCAGGACCCCGAGCGUAGUAGUUAUAUCUCGCUCUGGAAGGCCCUGGCGGUGCCCCUGCCGUUAAAACCCCCACAACUUNCUGAANACAUUCUUGACCUCGGAUCAGGGUAGGAAUACCCGCUGAAACUUAAAGCAUCAUCAANAAGACGAGAAGGAACUACGGNAAG